Molecule: long non-coding RNA, 793 nt
Filed under: Homo sapiens (human)
Lineage: Eukaryota; Metazoa; Chordata; Mammalia; Primates; Hominidae
Description: HSALNT0045242
Source: RNAcentral
UUUAAAUAUUGUUGAGAAAUCAAAUAAUUCUGGGAUACAAAUAAAAUGAGGGAUAUGUAGGGAAAGUAAUACAUAUAUGUAGAAUACAUAAAAUAGGUUCAAUAUCUACUAAACAGAAUUCAGAAUAGUUUACAGAAUUUAAACAGCCAAUAGUACCUAUUAGUGGAACAUGGGGUACUGAAUAAUUUAGAUUUGAUUUAUUAGAAUUUCUGUUUAGUCAUGUUAUAUAUCUUGAACUGUAACUAAAAUUUUAAGAAUGUAGUCAAUUAUUUUAUUUAUUAUUUCCACUUUCACAAAUAUGUUUAGCACUUAUAUACCCUGUUAAAUACUGAUUACAAAUAAUAAACACAUGGCCUUAUCAUACUAUUGUACACGUUUUCAAAACUUUGAAAUUCUCUGAUGAAGUAAGGACUGAGGUUACUUUCAUUUGGGUUCCUGUUACAGGUGCUUUAUACUAAGAUAUUGACUUUGGUUGUGAGCAGUUCUUCUGGCUGAAUUGAUUUAUGAUACACUCUGUUGCUAUCCAGACAGUUUCCAGUGAAAUGACAAAGAAGUUCUGCUUCCAUACCCAACUAAUCAAUGGAAAGCAAAGCAAGACCAGACAAAACAAAACCUUUUAUAUAAAGUGACUGGAUAUUAAAUGUCAUGUUGUAUAUGCUAUGUGUGAAAAUAAAGAGCAGACAUACAUAUCUUGUUAAUCGAUAUUGCUAUUUGCUUUCCAAAGAUAAAUUUAUAUCUAGUACAGAGACUAUUAAAACUGUUGUUGCAUUGAAUGGUUUGUUUAAAAAUAAAU